RNAcentral lists this ribosomal RNA (253 nucleotides) under uncultured bacterium. RNAcentral describes it as "partial 16S ribosomal RNA". It matches the Rfam family "Bacterial small subunit ribosomal RNA", at positions 524 to 776 of the family's 1533-position model. The record is from RNAcentral.
GCCGGAGGGUGCUAGCGUUGUUCGGAAUUACUGGGCGUAAAGCGCACGUAGGCGGACGAGAAAGUCAGAGGUGAAAUCCCAGGGCUCAACCUUGGAACUGCCUUUGAAACUCCUUGUCUUGAGGUCGAGAGAGGUGAGUGGAAUUCCGAGUGUAGAGGUGAAAUUCGUAGAUAUUCGGAGGAACACCAGUGGCGAAGGCGGCUCACUGGCUCGAUACUGACGCUGAGGUGCGAAAGCGUGGGGAGCAAACAGG